GGGCGAAUGGCGGAAUUGGUAGACGCGCUAGACUCAAAAUCUGGUGGUAGCAAUACCAUGUGGGUUCGAUUCCCACUUCGCCCACCA
This 87-nucleotide transfer RNA is filed under the name Candidatus Saccharimonadota bacterium. RNAcentral's name for it is "tRNA-Leu". It matches the Rfam family "tRNA". From Rfam's summary of the family: Transfer RNA (tRNA) molecules are approximately 80 nucleotides in length. Their secondary structure includes four short double-helical elements and three loops (D, anti-codon, and T loops). Further hydrogen bonds mediate the characteristic L-shaped molecular structure. tRNAs have two regions of fundamental functional importance: the anti-codon, which is responsible for specific mRNA codon recognition, and the 3' end, to which the tRNAs corresponding amino acid is attached (by aminoacyl-tRNA synthetases). tRNAs cope with the degeneracy of the genetic code in two manners: having more than one tRNA (with a specific anti-codon) for a particular amino acid; and 'wobble' base-pairing, i.e. permitting non-standard base-pairing at the 3rd anti-codon position. Lineage: Bacteria; Candidatus Saccharimonadota. The record is from RNAcentral.